UACGUAGGGACCAAGCGUUGUUCGGAUUUACUGGGCGUAAAGGGCGCGUAGGCGGCGUGGUAAGUCACUUGUGAAAUCUCCGAGCUAAACUCGGAACGGUCAAGUGAUACUGCUGUGCUAGAGUGCAGAAGGGGCAAUCGGAAUUCUUGGUGUAGCGGUGAAAUGCGUAGAUAUCAAGAGGAACACCUGAGGUGAAGACGGGUUGCUGGGCUGACACUGACGCUGAGGCGCGAAAGCUAGGGUAGCAAACGGG
RNAcentral lists this ribosomal RNA (253 nucleotides) under uncultured bacterium. Its description in RNAcentral is "partial 16S ribosomal RNA". It matches the Rfam family "Bacterial small subunit ribosomal RNA", at positions 524 to 776 of the family's 1533-position model. The record is from RNAcentral.